This is a non-coding RNA of Ictidomys tridecemlineatus (thirteen-lined ground squirrel), 57 nucleotides long. The record is from Rfam. NCBI's taxonomy places the organism in Eukaryota, Metazoa, Chordata, Mammalia, Rodentia, Sciuridae.
UCCAUAUCUUAACAGCUUUCAAGUGCUUUUGCAGUUUUCAGGAGCACAAGAUAGUUU